UAGAAUACAAAUAGCAAGUUACCAAACUGUCAUGAACAAAGAUAGAAUACAAGGAUGGCUAACCUCUGCAGAAAACAAAAAAACAAGCUACUCUCCCUAGUAAAACUCUAAAGAGUGUUUAAGUUCCUACAAUCCAAUCUAAGUACUCUAGCAAUCAACCAGAGCCCAGAAUGCCUCCCGCCAACAUCAUCCAAAUUUGAGAUUUCUACAUGCUAACUCAAGCAGACAGAAAGUGAUGGUCAGAUCCAUAUUUGAGAUUUCUGCAUGCAAAAUCAAGCAAACAGAGAGCGAUGGUCAGAUGUCAAGUGUUUCAAGCUAAAUCAAGCAGUAUAUGUAAGUGGAGAUGCUCAGCUUAGAAGGUUUGAAUGGACUGAGAGUAGUCUUCACAGUAGUAACUAACUACAUCUCACGUUAAUGGUUAACAAGAAAAACAUCAUCAAAACCUGAAUUCUGCUCAUAUAUUAGGAUUCACAUGCAAUCCUAUCAAAUUCAGAACCCAACAAACCAGACCCCCACCUAACAAAAGGACAAGAAAUAAAAGGAAAAGUAAAACAUAUCAAAUACAACUGAUAGUGGAGAUUCUCUUGUUCAAAAAAAAGGUGGAAAUUCUCAGUCUUUGAAUCAUGAAUGGAUUCAAGUGUCAUCAAUGGAAAAAAUGUCUCAGGUUAACGAGAAAGACAUCACUGCACAACCCACAACACUGAAACAAGAAUGAAUAGCAAGCACAUCACAUUCACAGGUUAAUGAGACAAAUAUCAUCACAACAUAGGAGUUCUGUGGAUAUAUUAGGAUUCACAUGCAAGAUGUAACUCUGUUCAAUUUGAACAAAGAUUGACAGAACUAAACGGAGACGCCAAAAAAAAAUAGAACAAGGACAGAGAAACAUAGCAAACAAGUGACAGUGGAGGUUCUGAGCCUUGAGUUAUGAAUGGAUUUAGGUGUCUUUCAUGGAAUAAAGAUGUAUCAGGUUAACAAGAAAGUCAUCAUUGCAACGUCCCAAUAUUGUAAAAUAGGCAUGCACAUGCUGGGAUGCAGCAAGGCACAAAAGCGAAUGAAAAAGAUGGUUACAAAAGAGUGACACCCUCAACUUGUUAUAUCUUCAACAAUACCAAUGCUGCUCAGUUAUAGUUUUUGAAUGGAUAGAUGCUAUCCUCAUAGUAUGUCUCAGGUUAACGAGAAGUCCAUCAUGGCAGCCAUACAAAGCACUAAGCAAACUACAAACUGUAAUGUGAACACUUGCUUGCACUUAAACAAAGUUAACGUCAUGUUUUAUGUGACCAGGAAUGUAUUUUAGAAUGGAACUAUUGAGAAAUUAACCAAUGUACAACAUAGACAAGUCAACAAAACAACAAACUUGCUUGGAAACAGCAGCGGAAGCAGAAAAUGAAGCAAACAAAGCAGUAGCAGCAGCAGAUUAUGGAACUGGAGGUGCUCAGCAUCUUAUUAUUCAAAUCAUCAUCAUCAUAGUAGCAAUGUAUGCUUAACAAGAAGCUGUCAAUGGGAGGGAGGGAUGCAUGCAUGGAUAGAUAGAUACAUAUAUAUAUAUAUACACACACACAAACACACAAAGAGUGUGUUAGAGAGAGAGAGAGAGAGAGGAGAAUUCUUGAAAAGAUAUCAUCACAGCAGCCUCCAGUUCAUAAUGACUGCAUGGAUAUCCUCCUAAUAAUGGACAUGGAUUCCAUGCAAGUAAGCAAAAAGAUAAACAAAAACACCAUGGUAACCACUGCCACCACCACGCCUCACCAUAACCAGCCCCACAGACACUUCAUCGUAAGUAUGAAGUUGUUUACCCUGCUAUGGAAAGGCGUGACUUUUCAAGAACACAUAGUGAACAGGUCACCAUGACAACAAUGAUAAGGCAUGAAGGCAAAACGAUCCUGUCAGAACCCAACAAACCAGACCCCCACCCAACAAAAAAGACAUGAAAAUAGAAGGAAAAGCAAAACAUCAAGGCCAAGUGAAAGUGGAGAUUCUCAGUCUUUGAGAUAUGAAUGGAUUUAAGUGUCUUUCAUGGAAAGAACGUCUCAGGUUAACGAGAAAGACAUCAUUGAAAACUUCCAACAUUGUAAAAUAGCCUUGAGUUAUGAAUGGCCGAAUGGGUUAGGUGUCUUUCAUGGAAUAAAGAUGUAUCAAGUUAACAAGAAAGACAUCAUUGAAACCUUCCAACAUUGUAAAAUAGGCAUGUACAUGCUGGGAUGCAGCAAGGCACAAAAGGCAAAUUAAAAGAUGGUUACAAAAGUGUGCGACACUCUCAACUUGUUAUGUAUUCGGAUAAUAUCGAUGCUGCUCAGUUAUAGUUUUUGAAUGGAUAGAUGCUAUCCUCAUAGUAUGUCUCAGGUUAACGAGAAGUCCAUCAUGACAGCCACACAAACUGUAAGCAAACUACAAACUGUAAUGUGAACAUUUGCUUGCACUUAACAUGAUGUUUGAUGUGACCAGCACUAUAUUUUGGAAUGGGACUAUUGUUAAAUUAACCAAUCUACAACAUAGGCAAAUCAACAAAACAAGAAACUUAGCUUGGAAACAGCAUCGGAAGCAGAAAAUGUAGAAAGGAAUAACGCAAUAGCAGCAGCAGAUUAUGGAACUGGAGGUGCUCAGCAGCUUAUUAUUCAAAUGAAUAUCAUCAUCAUACUAGCAGUGUAUGCUUAACAAGUAGGUCUCAAUGGGAGAGAGGGAGGGAUAGAUUGGUAAUAUAGUGUAUAUCUAGGUGCAUAGCAAAAGCUAUGUAUCUAGAAAAGCCGAAAUGACUUAUAAUUUGGAAUGGAGGGGGUAUACAUGCGCACGCGCACGCGCACACACACAGACAGACAGACAGACAGACAGACAGACAGACAGACAGAGAGAGAGAGAGAGAGAGAGAGAGAGAGGUUCUUGGAAAGGCUAUCAUCAUGGCAGCCUCCAGUUCCUAAUGGUUGCAUGGAUUUACAUGCCAGUAAGGAAUAAACAAAUAAGAAAAAAAAACACCAUGGUAACCACUGCCACCACCACGCCCCGCCAUCACCAACCCCACACACACCAGAAUUUUCAUUGCAGGUAUGAAGUUGUUUACCUUGCUAUGAAAGUGCGUAACUUUCAAGCACACAUAGUGAACAGCUCACCAUGACAACAAAGAUAAGGUAUGAGGACA
Molecule: long non-coding RNA, 3130 nt
Filed under: Sorghum bicolor (sorghum)
Lineage: Eukaryota; Viridiplantae; Streptophyta; Magnoliopsida; Poales; Poaceae
Description: long non-coding RNA (SBIC_LNC011639)
Source: RNAcentral